Molecule: ribosomal RNA, 791 nt
Filed under: uncultured bacterium
Lineage: Bacteria
Description: bacterial SSU rRNA
Rfam family: Bacterial small subunit ribosomal RNA
Source: RNAcentral
CAGUCGAACGAGCGAGAGAGAGCUUGCUUUCUCGAGCGAGUGGCGAACGGGCGAUUAACGCGUGAGGAACCUGCCUCAAAGAGGGGGACAACAGUUGGAAACGACUGCUAAUACCGCAUAAGCCCACGGGUCGGCAUCGACCAGAGGGAAAAGGAGCAAUCCGCUUUGAGAUGGCCUCGCGUCCGAUUAGCUGGUUGGUGAGGUAACGGCCCACCAAGGCGACGAUCGGUAGCCGGACUGAGAGGUUGAACGGCCACAUUGGGACUGAGACACGGCCCAGACUCCUACGGGAGGCAGCAGUGGGGAAUAUUGCACAAUGGGGGAAACCCUGAUGCAGCGACGCCGCGUGGAGGAAGAAGGUCUUCGGAUUGUAAACUCCUGUUGUUGAGGAAGAUAAUGACGGUACUCAACAAGGAAGUGACGGCUAACUACGUGCCAGCAGCCGCGGUAAAACGUAGGUCACAAGCGUUGUCCGGAAUUACUGGGUGUAAAGGGAGCGCAGGCGGGAAGACAAGUUGGAAGUGAAAUCCAUGGGCUCAACCCAUGAACUGCUUUCAAAACUGUUUUUCUUGAGUAGUGCAGAGGUAGGCGGAAUUCCCGGUGUAGCGGUGGAAUGCGUAGAUAUCGGGAGGAACACCAGUGGCGAAGGCGGCCUACUGGGCACCAACUGACGCUGAGGCUCGAAAGUGUGGGUAGCAAACAGGAUUAGAUACCCUGGUAGUCCACACCGUAAACGAUGAUUACUAGGUGUUGGAGGAUUGACCCCUUCAGUGCCGCAGUUAACACAAUAA